This 63-nucleotide transfer RNA is filed under the name Trichophoromyia ininii. RNAcentral's name for it is "tRNA-Thr". It matches the Rfam family "tRNA". Rfam says of the family: Transfer RNA (tRNA) molecules are approximately 80 nucleotides in length. Lineage: Eukaryota; Metazoa; Arthropoda; Insecta; Diptera; Psychodidae. The record is from RNAcentral.
GUUUUAAUAGUUUAAUAAAAACAUUGGUCUUGUAAACCAAAAUUAAAUAGUAUUUUUAAAACU